UCUAAUACCGGAUAUGACCGUCCAUCGCAUGGUGGAUGGUGUAAAGCUCCGGCGGUGCAGGAUGAGCCCGCGGCCUAUCAGCUAGUUGGUGAGGUAGUGGCUCACCAAGGCGACGACGGG
RNAcentral lists this ribosomal RNA (120 nucleotides) under Streptomyces gougerotii. RNAcentral's name for it is "partial 16S rRNA". It matches the Rfam family "Bacterial small subunit ribosomal RNA", at positions 162 to 283 of the family's 1533-position model. Lineage: Bacteria; Bacillati; Actinomycetota; Actinomycetes; Kitasatosporales; Streptomycetaceae. RNAcentral also lists the same sequence under 2 other names. The record is from RNAcentral.